Molecule: transfer RNA, 75 nt
Filed under: Lactiplantibacillus mudanjiangensis
Lineage: Bacteria; Bacillati; Bacillota; Bacilli; Lactobacillales; Lactobacillaceae
Description: Lactobacillus mudanjiangensis tRNA-Phe(gaa)
Rfam family: tRNA
About the family: Transfer RNA (tRNA) molecules are approximately 80 nucleotides in length. Their secondary structure includes four short double-helical elements and three loops (D, anti-codon, and T loops). Further hydrogen bonds mediate the characteristic L-shaped molecular structure. tRNAs have two regions of fundamental functional importance: the anti-codon, which is responsible for specific mRNA codon recognition, and the 3' end, to which the tRNAs corresponding amino acid is attached (by aminoacyl-tRNA synthetases). tRNAs cope with the degeneracy of the genetic code in two manners: having more than one tRNA (with a specific anti-codon) for a particular amino acid; and 'wobble' base-pairing, i.e. permitting non-standard base-pairing at the 3rd anti-codon position.
Source: RNAcentral
UGGACUGAUAGCUCAGUAGGUAGAGCACCGGAGUGAAGUCCCGGGGGUCGGCGGUUCAAGUCCGUCUCAGUCCAU